RNAcentral lists this ribosomal RNA (252 nucleotides) under uncultured bacterium. RNAcentral describes it as "partial 16S ribosomal RNA". It matches the Rfam family "Bacterial small subunit ribosomal RNA", at positions 524 to 776 of the family's 1533-position model. The record is from RNAcentral.
UACGGAGGAUGCGAGCGUUAUCCGGAUUUAUUGGGUUUAAAGGGUGCGUAGGCGGACUGUCAAGUCAGCGGUAAAAUUGAGAGGCUCAACCUCUUCCCGCCGUUGAAACUGGUGGCCUUGAGUGGAUGAGAAGUACGCGGAAUGCGUGGUGUAGCGGUGAAAUGCAUGGAUAUCACGCAGAACUCCGAUUGCGAAGGCAGCGUACCGGCAUCCAACUGACGCUGAGGCACGAAAGCGUGGGGAUCAAACAGG